This 422-nucleotide long non-coding RNA is filed under the name Junco hyemalis (dark-eyed junco). RNAcentral describes it as "lncRNA (ENSJHYG00000009579.1)". The record is from RNAcentral. Lineage: Eukaryota; Metazoa; Chordata; Aves; Passeriformes; Passerellidae.
GGAGAGGGUGUCUUCAAUGCCUUUCAGCAGUUCUACCCAGACAUCCAGCAAGAAUUGCAGUGUGGAAACAGAAAUCCUCAUCUGGUGGACUUUGAAUCAGUAGGAAUUUGCAAGUGUCAAAGACAAUUCUGUUAUGAAAAGGUCAAGAUCUGAACGGCGGGGAGAGAGAGCAUCACUCUCAGAAAUUCUGCCCCAGCAGCAGCAGAAGCCACCACCUGAUUCUCACCCACUUCAUUCUGGGCACCAGGAGCCAGGAGCAGUAGAGGCAGAAGAGAGGAGAAGAGAACCAUUACUCCUUUGAGAAAAACGGGCAUUGAAUCUUCAGGGCUGGGGACUGCAACCAACCAACGAAAAGGAAAGAAACAGAAGGAUCACAAAAGCUCUGUAAUAAAAAUUAGGGGAUUAAGGGUGAGAGGUGAAUG